This 389-nucleotide ribosomal RNA is filed under the name uncultured bacterium. Its description in RNAcentral is "bacterial SSU rRNA". It matches the Rfam family "Bacterial small subunit ribosomal RNA", at positions 28 to 417 of the family's 1533-position model. The record is from RNAcentral.
GACGAACGCUGGCGGCGUGCUUAACACAUGCAAGUCGAGCGGUAAGGCCCUUUCGGGGGUACGACGAGCGGCGAACGGGCGAGUAACACGUGGGUGACCUGCCCUCAGCUCUGGGAUAAGCCUGGGAAACCGGGUCUAAUACUGGAUAUGACUCCAUGACGCAUGUUGUGGGGUGGAAAGCCUUGUGCGGCUGAGGAUGGGCCCGCGGCCUAUCAGCUUGUUGGUGGGGUGANGGCCUACCAAAGCGACGACGGGUAGCCGGCCUGAGAGGGCGACCGGCCACACUGGGACUGAGACACGGCCCAGACUCCUACGGGAGGCAGCAGUGGGGAAUCUUGCGCAAUGGGCGAAAGCCUGACGCAGCGACGCCGCGUGAGGGAUGACGGCCU